CCUACGGGAGGCAGCAGUGGGGAAUAUUGCGCAAUGGGGAAACCCUGACGCAGCGACGCCGCGUGAAGGAUGAAGGCCUUCGGGUUGUAAACUUCUUUUAUCAGGGACGAAGGAUGUGACGGUACCUGAUGAAUAAGCCACGGCUAACUACGUGCCAGCAGCCGCGGUAAU
This 171-nucleotide ribosomal RNA is filed under the name uncultured bacterium. RNAcentral describes it as "partial 16S ribosomal RNA". It matches the Rfam family "Bacterial small subunit ribosomal RNA", at positions 338 to 524 of the family's 1533-position model. The record is from RNAcentral.